AUUGAACGCUGGCGGCAGGCCUAACACAUGCAGGUCGAACGGUAACAGGAAGCAGCUUGCUGCUUUGCUGACGAGUGGCGGACGGGUGAGUAAUGUCUGGGAAACUGCCUGAUGGAGGGGGAUAACUACUGGAAACGGUAGCUAAUACCGCAUAACGUCGCAAGACCAAAGAGGGGGACCUUCGGGCCUCUUGCCAUCGGAUGUGCCCAGAUGGGAUUAGCUUGUUGGUGGGGUAACGGCUCACCAAGGCGACGAUCCCUAGCUGGUCUGAGAGGAUGACCAGCCACACUGGAACUGAGACACGGUCCAGACUCCUACGGGAGGCAGCAGUGGGGAAUAUUGCACAAUGGGCGCAAGCCUGAUGCAGCCAUGCCGCGUGUAUGAAGAAGGCCUUCGGGUUGUAAAGUACUUUCAGCGGGGAGGAAGGGAGUAAAGUUAAUACCUUUACUCAUUGACGUUACCCGCAGAAGAAGCACCGGCUAACUCCGUG
Molecule: ribosomal RNA, 490 nt
Filed under: uncultured bacterium
Lineage: Bacteria
Description: partial 16S ribosomal RNA
Rfam family: Bacterial small subunit ribosomal RNA
Source: RNAcentral